AACCUUCCCUCGCUAGCUGGUUGUCAGUUACAGACCAACCUGAACCCAGAGUGUUUCAAGUCCCGAACAACUCCCUCUUCCUUUGGGAUGGUUUCUGGUGAACCUUCUACAACUGCUUUGAGAGGCGUGAAGUUAAUUUUCCUGUGAGCAGCAACAGCUGAGAACCUCAGAUUCGGUCGCUAGAAGACAAACUAUGGAGGCACGUUUCAUUAUCAGCAUUUGGCUGUUUAUCCACCUGGGUGUGGUGCUGGGUGACUCGGUCCAGUCCAAGGACCCCCAAAUGUCUGGAACAGAAGGAGACCAUGUGGCCCUCAGUUGCUCCUACACUACCAGCUCUCCCGGUUCCCUCUCUCUCUACUGGUACCGCCAGUAUCCCAACCAAGCCCCGCAGUACAUUGAGCAGAGAGGCGCCAAGGGAAACACGUAUGGUCAUACUGCAGAUUUCGCCCAGGAGAGGUUUUCUUCCCAGGCUGAUGACAGCUCCACUCUUCUGAACAUCCCAGUCCUGGAGCCGACAGAUACAGCGGUGUCUUACUGCGCCCUGCAGAGGGCACAGUGACAGAGCCAUAUGCCAGAGCUGUACAAAAACCCUUCCAGCCUUAUUGCAGCUG
Chelonia mydas (Green sea turtle) is the source of this 611-nucleotide non-coding RNA. The record is from the annotation of a RefSeq genome assembly. Lineage: Eukaryota; Metazoa; Chordata; Testudines; Cheloniidae.